UUGACAUUACUCUCUUUCAGUUAGACCACAAACCAAAGCAACAAAAAAGGCAAAACACAAUACCAAAACAACACAGAACCAUCACCUCCACCUUAUGAUUAGAAUCAGAUACCAAAAUCAUCCCCAACUCAAGAUCAAACACUCAAAAAUGCAACAAAAUCCAAGAACCUGCAAACAAGGAACUUCCCACUUCUUGAUCAACAUCUAAACAAUUAUAUACGUGCAAUCCUCUUCCAUUCACAGAACAAUAACCAAUUUCAAUGCCCAAAAACACAAUACCAGAGCAACCCAAUCCACGACCUCUAACUCACAAUACACGAAGACAGCGAUCCUGAGUACACUUCAAUUGACCCGCAAUCCCUAAUCUGUUCCUUGAUUGUAACCCUAAUACUCCAAGAAUGCGAAAAUUGAGGCCUCCCCAGUAAUCGAUCAGACGAAAACCCUACACUCCAAAAGAAACAUGCUAAGCACAUCUCUCAGUUCCAAAAAAACAAAAAACAAAACCGUAAUUCAAUCCUUAAAAAUCGAAAACAAAAAAGUUUCAUCAAAGUUCAAAAAUGGAGUGUUGAUCAUUACUAUUCAACAAUGGAGUUUUCUAUCUUUGGCUGCCGAGCUCGAGAAGCAGAGGCACGAGAUCGACUGGAUUCUUCGUCUACAGGGUUUUUCUUGAUUUGUGAUGAACACGGUGAAACAGAGUGAGAGACUGAGGACUGCUCUUCUGGAAGAAACAAGGCAACAAAUUGGGUUUUACUGAAGCGAUACAAAGCGAAAACGAUGGGUUUGAUGUGGGAGAAAGAGAAAGACUUGGUGACUGCGAAGAAGAGGACAAUGGAGCUCGAGUGCUUGAGAAGGCAGGAGCUGGAGAUGGAAGCGUGGCAGAGAAUCGCGAAAGAGAACGAAGCGACGGUCACGAAUCUCAAUACAGCUCUCCAACAAACUAGAGAGAGAGUCCCCAGAUGCAGAGUCGUUCUGUGAUUCAUCUAAUUACGGAGUAGUAAACAAUUAGGCAGAACAGAGCAAAACAAUGGCGUGUAGGCUCUGCAAUGCUCGAUGCUCGUGCGUUGUGUUUCAUCACUCAAAAAGAGGUAGUUUAGGUUAAUGUCUAUUCGGUAAUUUCAACUUCUUUAAUUUUUUUUUUUAUUAUUGUUGAAUAAAGAAUAUUGGAAGGUAUUUUUAUA
Cornus florida is the source of this 1178-nucleotide long non-coding RNA. RefSeq lists it as uncharacterized. The record is from RefSeq and is a predicted model, not a curated record. NCBI's taxonomy places the organism in Eukaryota, Viridiplantae, Streptophyta, Magnoliopsida, Cornales, Cornaceae. The transcript is spliced from 2 exons.